UACAGAGGUCUCAAGCGUUGUUCGGAUUCAUUGGGCGUAAAGGGUGUGUAGGUGGCGCCGUAAGUCGGGUGUGAAAUCUUGGAGCUUAACUCCGAAACUGCAUUCGAUACUGCCGUGCUCGAGGACUGGAGAGGAGACUGGAAUUUACGGUGUAGCGGUGAAAUGCGUAGAUAUCGUAAGGAAGACCAGUGGCGAAGGCGGGUCUCUGGACCAGCACUGACACUGAAGCACGAAAGCGUGGGGAGCAAACAGG
Molecule: ribosomal RNA, 253 nt
Filed under: uncultured bacterium
Lineage: Bacteria
Description: partial 16S ribosomal RNA
Rfam family: Bacterial small subunit ribosomal RNA
Source: RNAcentral